GGGGAUGGGGGGGGGGCAAAGUUGGCUGGGCCCCAGCGAGCGCUGAGGUCGGGCUGGAGGAGCUCCGAGGCUCCCGGCCGGGCGCACGGGGCGGUGGGUGUGUCCGGGUCCCGGAGGAUGUCCGAGGCAGGGGCAGGUUCUGCGGGCUGGGUCCCUGGGGAUGCUUGUGUGUGCGUGUGCGCGCGUGUGCGCGUGUGUGUGCCUCCGCGCUGAUCCCUUGGGUGCCCGGGGGCUGGGGAUGUGACUGCGAAGACUCCCCCCUUUCCCUCAGAGAAGAGAUUAGCCCCCAAACCCUUCCACGUCCUGAUUGGUCCAUUCCCUCGCUUUGCUUGCUUCCUGCACUCCCCCCAUACCUCAAAUGUCCAUGAGGGAGAUCCCUGAGGCUGGGACUGGGUGUGGCCCUCACUUCCCCUCGGGCAGGAGGGGGAAGCUUCCUUCCCGUUCUCCUCUGCCCCAAUGGGGUGGGGUUGAGGAAUACAGCACCAAGUCCCGGCCUGAAAUUAAGUGCAGAUGCUGCCGGAGAAGGAGCUUGGGAUUCCACCAGAGAGACUCUUUCUUCUACUUAGGAUUUUCUGACAUUGGCCCCCUGGGGCGCCUCUUUGGGCCUCAGUUUACCCAUCUGUAAAAUCAGCUUCAGGCUCCUCUCCUCUUUUAAAUCCUCAGAUAUUCCUCCCAUUUCAGCACCAUCUUCUCCCUCGGAUCCCUUCGGCUGCCUGUGGAACUAGGGGGAGCCUUGAAGAGUGGAGAGAGGGACCCCCCCCCCCAUGCUCAGCCAUCAUGCCCCUGGGGAGAGACUGCUAGUAGGGAGUUCAGUUCCUUAUACUUGUAUCCUCCGGGCUGGGCCCUUCAUGGAUACUUGUUGCUGAAUUGAUUGACCGGAAAUUUAGGAAAUGGAAGCUCGGGGAAAUUGAGGAGGGAUGGCUGGGGAUUGUGGGCCCUAGAAUCCUAGUUCUGGGAAGGACUCUCUGAAGCCAUUUAGCUGAAGCCGAACCAUUUUAGAGAUGAGAAAACUGAGUCCCAGAGGUUACCCAGUGUGGAUGGGUGGAAUAAAAGAGGAAGGGAGGGGAACUGGGACGGCGACCAUUGACCAGGUGGAGGGACUGGGGCUCUGGCUGGGGGAGGACGCAGAACUUGGGAAUGUCCGUGGGAUGGUGCAAGGAGCAGGAAUCUCAGGACCGUAACCCACAGGAAAGUCAGCCUAACUCCGAGCCUCGUCUUACACUUGGGAAAUGGGCUCGGUGAUAUUUCUGUCGCUUCCCUCCUGGGAGUAAUGAAGCGUUUUGUGUGCUUGAAGUGUCCUUCUACUUUGUGAUCACGUCAUGAUCAGGAGCAGGUCUCCUCCUCCUCCUCCUCCUCCUUCCUCCCCCUCAGUUUCCCUCUGUUUCUGGGAGGCUGUGGUGGAUGGAGGUCACGGCUGGCAGGAGGAUGAGCGGGGUGAGAAGAUAAGGGCCCACCUCCCUGUGAAGUUGGGAAGGCCUGACGCGGUCUUGGGCCCUUCCCAUAGAGCUGAAUGUUCGGAGGAGUUUGGGGGUGCAUGGGACGAUUGCGGGCGCGGGGGCGGGAGAGAAGCCGGCAGUGGGGCCCUGGGGCGUUGAGAACCGAGCCCAGGGGUGGCCUUGGUGGGGAGCGGAGGGUUUGUCAGCAGCAGGGCAGGGGAUGCGGGUGCCCGGCGGUAACAGAUGGGUCCCCACGGCCCAGCUCUGAAAUGGCCAAAGUUGGCAGAGGGAGGGCCCCACCCUGAGCCGGAGGAGCUGGUUGGGGUGGUUGGAGUGCGGCUGUGGGGGCGGAGGGGGUGCGGGUGCUGGGCGUGGCUCUCACCCUCCCCGGCCAUGGGAGCCGCCUCAGGGACCCAGAGAAGCCCCAGUGGGACUCAGAUGGGAUCUCCUGGGCUGAUUCAUUCAAACCUUGUGGCGUCCUCCCUCCCCUUGGCUUCCCCUUCCUCUCGCUGGGAGAAUGCUGGUUAUGUGAACCCUGGCCUGGACACGGGAGGUGGCAGGUGGGGGCAGGAAGCCGGGGCGGGGACCAGCGGCCGGGGCAAAAGCGGCUCUGAGCCUCCCCCCCCAGCUCCUUCUUUACGGGGGAGGGGGGCAUGUGGGUAUCAUGUUUGUUGUGCAGCUUUCGACUGCUGUGCAUGAGGCUGCAGCCAGAGGCUGGGCGUGCCUCCUUGCGGGAGGCUGAGGACGUGCUCAGCCAGCCACGGGGUGGGCGAGCGGCAGGGACUGUGAGGGAUGGGGGACGGCGGGGAACCCAUCGGACUCGGGAACCACGGGAUAGCGGGCUGGCCUCGGCCCGUCGGAAGGAUGUACGUCACCGAACGUGGGGACGGCAGGGAGCCUAGAACACAGAACGUGGAAUGGCAGGCUCAGGAUAGGGAAUGUAGGGAAACAUGCUCUUCCCUUCUUUUUUUGCCGAGGUGGGGGACAACAGGUGCCCAAUAUUACACAUGCUCUUAGAUGUGGGUAGGUGUUGGUUGGUUUUGGCGAAUCAUUCCGCUCCCUCCUCCCCCUUUAUUCUUUUUUUAUUAUUAUUUUUAUUCUUUUUUAUUUUUUAAAUAACUUUUUAUUGACAGACCCCUUUAUUCUCAUAAGGAAUGGCUCCCUAGGGGAGGGAGGGGGAGUUCCAGAUUUAUAAAUCAAGGUGAUUAAAAAGUUGAACAAAAUUAAAAACCAAAAGUGUGUAUGUCUCCUAUCACAGCCGGGAGAGAACAGAAUGUAGAACGAAUGUCAGUGGCUUAGAACGCAAGAAGUGCGAGGAAGCUUCUGCUCUAGAACAUGAACCGUCGGAGCCUUAGAACAUGGAAUGUCAGAGCUGGGAGGGAGCUUAGAAAGAGCAAUGAAUGUCAGUCUUAGAACACAGGAAGUAAGAAGGAACUUCUGAAGAACAUCAGUGAUUUAGAACAUGGUUUAUCAGAGCUGCAGCUUAGAAUGUAGAACAUAGAACAUGGGAUGUAGGAGAUGGGAGGGAACUUGCAGAUGGAUGAUUCUAGUGCUCCCGGUUUACAGAAGGGAGACUUGCUGGCCUCCCAUUGGGUGCUCAGCUGUCAGUCUACCCAAGAGGGAGGGGCUGGGCCCAGCCAAAUGGCUACUUUGUAUCUGUGAGUCUGUGUCCGGCUGUUACUCAGUAUCUGGUUCUGUGUAACUGUUGCUCCCUGUGUAGUGUGUUACCAUGUAGCAGGGGAUGAGUCACCCGUCCUGGGUGGGAAGCAAGUGUGUGUGUCCUUGCACUUUGUGCUGGUCAGCCACGGGCUGCCCGUGUGGCCCCUCCAGGGGAGGUGAGCCUAGAAGGAGGCCCGUGUGCCAAGGCGUGCUGUGCACAGGGGCCGGUGGGGCGGGCGUCCUGCCGGGUCCCCAGGGGCUGGAGAGGAGGAUCUAGGGAAGGGGAAGUGCGCCAGCUGAUCCUCAUGGAGGAGCUUGGGGGAGGCGCUGUGUCCUGGCCUAGAAGUCUAAGGGGCCUCUCUCUGGUCAGGGCCCUUCCAGCUGGGCCCCGGGAAGUUUGGGGCCGCCGCUGGGCCAGCACUUGGCACAGAAGGCCCGGACUUGGGGCAAGUGCAGGGUCUUGGGGAACCCGACAGAAAGUUCAGUUUUAGAGCGUCCUUGUCACUGAGGAGCCGCAGGUCCUGAAGGCAACGGUGCUCUAAAAAUGCCAUGUUGGAGAAUUUCCGCUGGCAAAGGUUCAGUAGUGAAGCUGUGAAAGGGGUGAGACUCCUGUCCCAGAGAGGCAGCAAGGGGAAUGUCUGCUCUCCUGCUGCCAGGGCCUUCUCACAGGGAGCCACGGGGGAAGUGAGAGGCUAGGGAGCAGAGCAGCGGGAGGGGGGGGAGGGAGGUGGAGCCCGCUAGCUGGUCGGGGUGACCGCCGGGGAGGCAGGUGUGGAGCGAGCUGCCUGGGAAGGCCUGUGGGGAGGAAAGGGAAGGGGGAAAACCCAGCAAGGCUGGGAGGGUGGAAAACUUCCUCCCCAGUGCGAGCUGUGGGCAGGUCCGGUUGUUUCAGUCCCCUAGGGCAGGGAAGGAGGGGAACCAGAAUGGUGGCUCUCAGCAGCAAGGGAAAAGCUGGUAGACGCGUAGCCAGGCCGUGGGUGACCAAGCUGGCAGGGACACGAGGGGAGGGGGAGACGCUUUAGCCAAGAGUGGGAACCAGGCCGAGGGGGACCAAGCUGGCACACGAGGGAAGGGGGAGACGCUUGGCCAAGAAGGGGAACCAGGCUUUCAUCCCAAGCCUUUGAGCAGAAAGUAACUGCUGAAUCAGUACCCCCAGGCCUAGUGAGUGGCACAGAGCAGGUUACAGUCAUUUCUGGCACUGAGAUUUGCUACACAAGCUGGGGGCUACUUGGCAGAAGGUGGCCAUUAAAACAGUCAUUAAGAAUGGGCAUAGAUGUCGGGGAGGAAGGUGCCCUAUGGGAGGAAUGGAUGCCCAUGGGAAAAUGCAUGUGCUUUAUGCCCACGUGAAGGUAUGGAGUCUUUAUGAGUGUGGAAACAGGAAGACUUUGUGGACAGUUCAUAAAUGCCAGUCUGGGCACUUAGCAGCCGUAUGACUUGCCUUGGCCCCUUCCCUUCUCUAGGUUGAGGUUCCUCAGCUGUACAAGUGAUCUCGGAAGGCCCCUUCUCAUUUAAAUCUGCCAUCUUAGCCUCCGAGUGGGAUCUCCUAAAGCCCUGGCAGUUCCCUGCCCUCCACCUUCCUGUCGCAGUGGUGGUGAGGGCCUUUUCUUGGAUCAGACCCCUGGUUUUCCUCCCCCACUGCGAGCAUUGGCUCUCCUUCUUGGCGGCUCACCAGGACACCGACCUCCUUUGGCUUGGAGGCUUGUCAGAUCCUCCUACCAUUGUAAACUGGAAAAACACAGCCAGGCAUCUCCAUGUGGAUGAUGCUUUCUCCAAAGGGAAAGUUGUCAUACCUGUAGAAUGCCUGCCAGCAAUCGGUCUUUCAAUCACCAAGUAUUCAAUCAACAAGCUCCUCCCUCGUGGCAGAUCUGCCAGAUACUGGGAAUCCAAAGGCAAAAUUGUCAGUCUCUGCCUGGGGAAGCUCUCGUUCUGUCUGAAGGAGUCCAGGGUAUGAAUCCCCUUGUAGGGUCAUAUGACCUCAAAAGUGUUCUUAUCUCCUUAGCCCGGGAUUAAGCAUCCUUUCUCUCCUUGGGGAUUGUUUCUCUAAGGACUUGGCGCAAAGGUGAAUGCUCUGUGGCCUUCACCUCAUCCCAUGGCCAUCACAUCUGGUACUGGGCUGGACCUUAGAUUGAAAAUCAAGCUGGAAGGAACCUUAAAUGACAUCUGGCUCUAAUAUACUAUUUUACUGGUGGGGAAACUGAGGCACACAGUUAAGUGACUUGCCCAGGGUCACACAGCUAGUAGGUGUCUGAGGUCAGAUUUGAACUUGGGAAGUUGAGUGAGCCUGAUUCCAGGUAAGGUGCUAUAGGCACUGUGGUACCCCCUAGCUGUUGAUACUAUUUUACAGAUUUGGAAACUGAAUCCCAGCAAGGUGGCCCCGCAGUCCUGUGGCUGCCCGUGGCUGCCUUCCACAAGUGGUGGGUGGUCGAGCUGCAAUUUGAAUCGGGCCCUUGUGGAAAAUGUGCUAACUGGAUCCCACCAGCUGGGCAGGGGGCCGACUCCCCCACAGUGGGAAUUCCUCAGAUCCCUGGCUUUGGGCAUUUUCCUGUACUUGCCUGCUGGGGUCCAGGGGGAACCUGGAGGCUGACUGUGAAACUUAAGCCUUGGGCAUGAUCUCAGAAAAAGAGGAUUCAAAUCCUGACUCUCCCUACACUAGCCGUGUGGCCCUGGGCUGUUGGCAAACCUCUCUUGGGCUGAGGUUUUCUAUCAAAAUGAAAACAACUCGCACUGUUUAUUUUCUGGUGUCAUCAGGCAGAAAGCGCUGCGUAGACGGCACAUCGAUAUGUAAGGGAUGAUGAUAAUGAUAACGUAAUAAUUAUGAUCAUCUUUGAUGUUAGGUUGAGGUCAGGGGUCUGGUUUGUUGCUUCAAGUUCCUAAAGGCCUGAGUGGAUAUUUUUAUUUUUUAAAUUAUUUUUUAGCUUUUAUUUAUUUUUUCUGGUUAUACAUGUAUAUUAACUCUAUUAAUUUAUUUAAUAACUUUUUAUUGCCAGAACCCAUGCCAGGGUAAUAUAUUAACUUUAAAAUACACAUUUCUUUAUAAAUCAUGUUGAGGGAAAAAUCAGAACAAAAGGGGGGAAAAACCACAGGAAAGAAAAAAAAAAAAAACCAACCCCAGAAAAAAGCAGUGAACAUGGUGUACGGAUAUUUUUUUAAAGUCCUGCAUCUUGUUCUCUGAACUGACAUUUGAGGUCAGCCCAGGAAUGUUGGGGACACCUUCCAGCCUUUCCUUGGGGGGGCGGGUUCCAUAGUUCUAGCUUGGCUUCGGGUCUGAAAGAUUUCCAACCCAUCAGCACCUGGAUUGUGGAGACAGUGGGCCAGAUUUUCCGGGACUUGCCAUUUCUUUCUGCCCUGCGCCACCCCCACCAGCUGGACCAGACAGGGCUGUUCUUCCUGGCUGGGAGGGUGGGCUGACAUUUGCCCGAAUUUGUAAGGGCCAGGACCUGUGCCGCCUUCUCUCUGGUACUUCGUGGAUCGUCCUACGCCUUUUUCCUUCUGAGACCCGUCCAGUCUUCCAGGGUUCUUGUGUACAUCUCAAUUCUCAUUUUUCUAUGUGCUGCCAUCUUAGUGGGAUUGCUUCUUCUCUUUCUUUCCCUCUUUCUCUUCCUCCCUCUCUGGCUUUAUCUCUCCAUCUCUAUUCCCUUCUUUUCCUUUUUGUCAGCUCUGUCUCUGUGUUGGAUAUUUUGUCACACACACACACACACACACACACACACGCACACACACUGUUCUCUUUUCAAAUGUCUAUUUGUGUGUGUGAUUCUUUCUCCUUUUUCUCCCUCUGAUUUUGUGUCUCCUGAGUGUGUGUGUGAAUAAACAUUUGUUAGAACCACGGACCAGGAGCUGGGGAUAUAAAGGCGGGUAAAGUCCCAGCUCUUGGGAAAUCACAGUCUAAUGGAUGAGAUGAACCGUAAACAAUUGUGUCCAAACAAACUCCGGCCAGGAUUCGUUGGAGAUAAUCAGUGGGGGGCAGGUGCUAGAAUUAAGGGGAGCCAGGAAAAGCUGGAUUUUAGCUGCACCUUGAAAGAGAGGGGGGAGGCGCCAGUGGUCUGAGGGGUGGUCUGAGCCUUCCGGGCUAGGGGGUGGCUAGGGAGAAUGCCCAGAGCUUCCGGGACAGCCAGAAGGCUGGACCAAAAAGUGCAUGGGGUAAAGAAGAGGGGUUGGAGCUGUAAGAAGACUGGGAGGGGCAGGUGAGAAAGAGCUCUGACUGGCUCUGGGGGUGGGCAUGUACCCUGCACUGCUGAGUGUUGGAAAGAAGGCUACAUUUGGGCCUGGGAGGACUCUGGAUUUAAGCUCUGGCUCUGGCCCAGACAAGCUGUGCAGAGGCCAAUCUCUGCCCUCCCUGAACCACAGUCUUCGUUCAACGAGACUUUUGACUCCCUUCCUCACGGGGCUUGUCAGGGGCUCUGUGACACUGGACUGUGGGAGCUGGGAGGGACCCAAGGCGCCAGGUGUCGACAGGGAGGGACAGGGCAGCCCAGCAAGGUGAGAGGUCUCCAAUCUGCAUGGGGCCGGCACCUGGGGGCUCAGCCGGGAUCGUUCCCAAGCCGUUCUCUCUACCACAUUGGCCAGGCCACAGGCUUUGCCCCCGGCCACAAUACCGGCCAGGCUGGGCUGACUGCCCCCUGGGCCUGGCACCUCCUCAUUAGCUGUCAGGGCCCUCCCCCUCUGCCUUCAGUUUCCUCAUCUCUAACAGGACCAGGUAGAUUCGCUGGCGUGGGGGCCGUGUGUUUAUACAUCCGGGGGUGGGCAUGAGGGUUUUUAGCAUGCAUUUCUCUGGCACUGGCUCUUUCCCUUUUCUGCGUCCCUCCGUGGGUGCCAGCUGUCUCCCCUGUCCCUCUCCCUCUGGGCCAAGGGUUCUGCUCCCUUCUAGUGCUCUGUCCUGUGGCCAUCUUUGUGGGAUUUCCUCCUCUUUCUUUCCCUUUCUCUUCCUCCCUCUCUAUCCCUUCUUUCCUUUUUCUCAACUCUGUUUCUGUCUCUCUGAUCUCCCCAAUGUCAAACCAGUUUGUUCACACACACACACACACACACACACACACACACACACACACGCAUAGAGAUACAGACACAGAAUGUUCUCUUCCCCUUCUGCACAUAUCAGACAUCAGCCCACAGGAGAACAAAGCGAUAGCGGCCCCAUUCCUCCCCCCCUCCCCCAAGAGAUACAAAGACUUCCACAGAGAGGGGAGAGAGCUUUACCCGAAGGGAAAUUGGGACAUCCUUGGGAGAUCCAUGCAAAGAGAAACACAGAAGUGAGGAAUGGCUGCCCAGAGGGGAAAAGCAAGAGGGAGAGACAGAAAAGAAAGGAGAGACACAAGGGAAAGAGGGGAGUCAGAGAGAGAGAGAGAGACAGAGACAGAGAAAUACAGACAGAGAAACAGAGACAGAGAGAGACAGACACACAGAGAGAAAAAGAGAAAGCUACAGAGAUACAGAGACAUAGACAGAGAUAGAGAAAAGAGAGACAAGAAGAGAGACUGAGACAGAGAUUGGGAGUGUUUUGGGACAAGGCCCCUCCCUCAUGGGCUGCAUGUGAAAUCCUCUGGGCCCCUCUCCUUCCUGGGCAUGGGGUGGGUGAGGGGCACAGAGGUCCUUCUCCUGCCUUGCCCCCACAUGUGCGCCUGGGAAUUCCCUCCCUGGGUGUGUCCCUGUGGGGUGUGUGGUUCCCCUUGGGCCUGGUCUCUUUCUCAAGGUGUGAUCCAGAUGUUCCAUCUGCUCACUCCACCCCCUGCUGGGACCAUGGCUCUGGCUGUAGUUUGGGUCUUGGGGCUCCCUCAUCAGCUCCCCGCUCCCCACUGAGCUCUAGGGACUUUGCUUGGGUCAGUGGGGGGGGGGAGAGCCCCGCCUUUGGAGAUCUCUAUUUUCUAACCUCUCUCUCCAGCAAAUCCCUUCUGCUCCUUUCCCUUCGGCAUUCAUUCGUUCGUUCGUUCAUUCAUUCAUUCAUCAAACAUUUAUUACGCGCUUCUUCCUAUGUGCCAGCCCUGCUUGAGGUGCCAGGGAUACCUGGAUCAAAAUAAC
This is a long non-coding RNA of Sarcophilus harrisii (Tasmanian devil), 9107 nucleotides long. The record is from Ensembl. NCBI's taxonomy places the organism in Eukaryota, Metazoa, Chordata, Mammalia, Dasyuromorphia, Dasyuridae.